Haliotis rufescens (red abalone) is the source of this 370-nucleotide long non-coding RNA. RefSeq lists it as uncharacterized. Lineage: Eukaryota; Metazoa; Mollusca; Gastropoda; Lepetellida; Haliotidae. The record is from RefSeq and is a predicted model, not a curated record. The transcript is spliced from 3 exons.
CACAGGGGUGCUAGUGACACAACUACCCCGGGUCCCCACGUGGUGUGGAAGACAGUGACACGUGUUAUCUGUCAUUGGCGUCGCAAUGUCUUGCCGUGUCAGUCUUACCGGAGAGAAUAGUUAGUUACUGAUUAUUCUGUCAACGUAACGAGACAAGCUUCCUUAUUUGCCAGCUCAACCAAUCUGUCUACCGUGACGGGUGUCCGAGUACAUGUGCCAGACGAUCUCGGUCACCGCUGUAACACAAUCGUCUAGAACGAACAGGAAUUUGUGCACAAUGUACGCGGGCGUGGAAUGGAGAAUGGGCGUUACCUGUAUAUUUAUUUUAUGAGGCUGUUGUGACUAAAAUAUACACAACAUUUCAUAUAAU